Molecule: small nuclear RNA, 20 nt
Filed under: Phaeodactylum tricornutum CCAP 1055/1
Lineage: Eukaryota; Bacillariophyta; Bacillariophyceae; Surirellales; Neidiaceae
Description: snRNA PTsRNA00020a
Source: RNAcentral
CUGCUCUGAUUUUUCUCGUU